This 12162-nucleotide long non-coding RNA is filed under the name Mytilus galloprovincialis (Mediterranean mussel). Lineage: Eukaryota; Metazoa; Mollusca; Bivalvia; Mytilida; Mytilidae. The record is from RNAcentral.
UCAGCAAACAGCAGAAGAAUGAGAAUAGGAAGAAGGGACUUCUAUAUUCCCUAUUUGGCUCACAGAUAAUAUGGUUUUGCCUUACAGUAUACAGGGUAAUGUAUUUAUUAAAUAUAUGUCCAGCCAUAUGUUUGUGUUCAUUUUAAAAUCAAUGUCCGUAUCUUAUAAUAUGCUAUAAACAGAACGAAUCUAUAUCCGUGUUUUUCUCAGAUCCGAUGACUGUUUAUGCCCUGUUCUGUAUUAUAUCACACACUUUCCUUUCGGUGUCAUGUGUUUGUACAGUAAAACAUGCAGAACUAAACAAGUAUCCGACAAACCAGUUUUGUAUUAAUUCAUCACAUUCCCAACGAGUGUUUUAUAUGCAUCAAAUACGUGGCGAUGCCUUAAUAGCAAAAUAGUCAAAACGGUUUUAAUGGAAACUUAUAUAGGCGCAUAUUAUGGAUCUUUUACUUCACAUUGAAAAAAACAUUUCAUAAAAGGACACACAUUGGAAACAUUUGUGUGCCCUGACUUGACAUGACACAUAUUUGAUGAAAGGACACGACACACAUUUUAGGCUAGAUAAGCUAUUGUAAUAUUUUUAAUUGUCAAUGUGCCCCACCUUUGUAGCAAUAUACCAACCUCCCUUCGCAUAUUUAUGUGUAUGCAAAAACGUAGAAAUUUUCUGUGUGUUUUGUGAACUGGAAUAUAGAGAUAUGCAUCUUUCAGAUAGAGAGACAAAGCCCGGUCUUGGGGUUUUACAAGAUUCAAAACUUUUGUUUAAGUGUCCAUUUUGAAAUGUUGCUUCCUCAGAUACUGGUUGAGAGGUUUCAAGUUUAUCGCAGUUCUUGAAUCGCCUGUUUUCUUGGGUACCAGAAAAAGUGUACUAUAAAAACCUUGAUGUAUCUCUGCUGAGGUACAAUCUCUAUUGCAUUUUUUCUAUUUAAUCUUCUACCUCUGCUAAAAUAAUAGGUAGAUUCCUCGCAUUGACAGAAGUGUGUUUUCAACCUGUCAAAUAAGGAGUUUCUUGAAAUUAUAAUUUCAAACCCUCUUGUAAAGUUUUCAGUACCAAUUGAUCGUCUGUUAUUGAUUCCCAUUCCUGAAUAAAAUGUUUUAGAAAGAUAAGAAGUUAGCAUUAUCCUUUAACUCUACUAACCGCAAUAUAGAUGAUGUUCUUUCACUAAAUUAUUCAAAAUUUGGUGACUUUGUCGAACGCAUCUAUCCCAUUGAACUAGAGAUAAAGGAUACAACAAAUACAGUUAAGUCGGCCUCAUAUAUUGACUUACAUCUAGAAAUUGAAAAUGAGGGUCGAUUGAAAACAAAACUGUACGACAAGAAAAUUUCAGCUUUCCAAUUGUGAACUUUCCAUUUCUAGGUAGCAGUAUUCCAGCAGCACCUAUAUCUGUGUAUAUGUCGUGUACAUUUUAUUAUUUUGUACAGGUUAUUACUUGUACAAAAACAUUGUACAAGUAAUUACUUGUAGCCUUCAUACAAGUUAUAACAUGUACAAAUACAAUUGUACAAGUAAUUACUUGUCCAAUUUUUAUUGAGAAAAAGAUAAUAACUUGUACAAUUCAUUUCUACCUAGACCUAUUUGCUGUUCACAACAAAUGUUCCUUUUAACAAUUAAUUUAUUACUAAAUGCAAAAGAAUAAACUUGUAACAUUUGAGAACUUUUUAUAUAAUAAAAGUGCUAGCAAAUCUGUUCAGUUUAAUGGGCAUAUCUAAAGUGUAAAGAGGGAAAACACCGUAGAAAAGAAAUUUCAUGAUGAAAUUAAUAAAUUGAAAAAUGACAAUAAUAUCUUCUAAUAAUAUAAUUCAGUAUUCACACAUGAAGGAUACAGAGAGACUAUAAGGAAUGUAAAGGAAGCAAAAUAAAGUUCCAAAAAACAGCACUUAAAAAAUAAUUCUUGAGACGGUAUGAUGUUUUGUUGAAUGUAGCAGGAAUUAAAAAAAAACUCAUUUGCAAAUGAGACGAAAUUAUUUGUUUAGUUGAUGAACUUUACCCUCUGAUUAGAACAGCACAUUCUGGAGUUGGUCAUGGAGGCAUAUUGCCAAGAGCAGCUGAGUAGCUAACCAUGCAACUCACUUAUAUUUGUUUUUACUUUUGUGAGCUACUCAUAUCCUGCAAAGUGACAAUUGAAGAGAAUUUACAGCUAUUGUAAUUAUAGAACCUACCGUAAACUUCUUGGCCACGGCUUGAAUUAAACCCUAAAUGUCAGGUGUCCAUUUAAAGAGAAAACGCAGAAAUAAAGUCAUGAGACGCAUGAGAAAAUAAUUGUAGUAGUCCGUAUUAAAUUGGCACUAGCUGUCAAAUUCAUGUUCACCGAUUUGUCUUAAAAGUUAUUAUCGAAGGAAAUACGGUACGCAUGCGCCAAGUUUAAACCAGCGAAAAAUUUAGAGAGGAAAAAAGUUGAAAAAAAUCUUCGAGUUGGGAUUUAUAUUGAUUAUAUCAAUUCAAGAACAUUUAUAUGUGAUAUUACUUGUGGGAUUAUAUGUUUCUGAACUGAAAAAGUGCAAUAAUGAGUAGUUUCGAUAUGUUAGAAUUUGAUCCACUGAAUGAUGAGCGCAGCAGACACAUACGUACAGUUGGUGAUGGUUCCGCAUAAUCUUUCUAUAUGUAGUCAGUUGGACUUAUUGCAUAAGGAAGUGAAACCAAUAUUACUGUACGGUUGUGAAGUAUGGGAUAUUGAAAAUAAUGACAUUAUUGAAAAUAAUGACAUUAUUGAAAGGGUACAACUAAAUUUUGAAAAUUAUUAAUUUACAAAAAACUUAAAAUUAUCAUAGUUUCAUCUAACUUUGAUAAAAAAAUAUCCACUCGCAUAAUUUAAUGAAAACUGAAUUUCACAACCAGUUUCUGUUGAAUUUUCAACCACAGAGCAAAUGAAUAUACAGACUUUUAUUUGACUUUAUGAAAUUUUUUACAUAGGUAAUAUUUAUUAUUUAGAUAGUAUGCUCUUACAUUUUAUGCUUUGUGAUAAAUCGACAUGCUAAGUAGCCUUGUAGAUUAAAAAUAUAUGUUUAUCAUCUUUUUACCUGUUUAAGAAUGAUUUUUUUUGGAUCGAAUCAGUCAAUCAAAUGAUAUACCUUUGUUUCACUUUCAAUGUGACAUUUUUGUCCUUAUUAAUCUCUUUCAAAGGGGUUAAAUUGAAGUUCACAUGAAUACAGAUUCAAAAAGGUCGAAGUAUUCAUUUGCAAGUGAAUAAUUUAUCAUCAUUGAUUCCUUCGCUUAUUUUGACAAAUUAAACCAUACUGGCUGUUUAAAGCGAAAAAGUUAUUUCACUAUUUCACUUUCAUUGAUGAUUGAACAAAAACAAUAUCAUAUGUUAGAUUUGUAUAUAUCUCGUAGCUAGUGCCCCUUUAAAGUGGCAACAAAUUAUAUUUGUACAAGUAAUAACUUCUAUGAUGGCAUCGUACAGGUAAUUACUAUUACAAAGUUUUUGUACAGGUAGUAACAUGUACACGACAUAUAUAUCUCCCAAUUGAUACGAUAUUCCCAUGCUUGCAUUUCGGAGGUUCCUAUCAUGAUUUUCUUGAUAGAGGGUUGUUGCUCACAAGGGAGCUAAUAAAUCAAGAGUUCCAAAUGGUGAAAUUGAAAUCAUCUCUUAGUAAAUUUAACGGACGCCAUCACGAGUUGGUUGACUGUUAUGAAUAACCGUUUCGCAAAUGAUAUCAGAUGUAUUCCUUACUUCGUAACUACAAUCCCCUUCCCUUUCAUAAAUGUGACCGACCGAAUUAGACUAUUUAUCGGAAUUGUUAUCUCAUAAGCAACACGACGGGUGCCACAUGUGGAGCAGGAUCUGCUUACCCUUCCGGAGCACCUGAGAUCACCCCUAGUUUUGGGUGGGGUUCGUGUUGUUUAUUCUUUAGUUUUCUAUGUUGUGUCAUGUGUACUAUUGUUUGUCUGUUUGUCCUUUCCAUUUUUAGCCAUGGCGUUGUCAGUUUAUUUUCGAUUUAUGAGUUUGACUGUCCCUCUGGAUCUUUCGUCCCUCUUUUAGGUGUGUAUCUUCGCAUUGUGGCCCCUGUGGAUUUUUCAAAUAUGAUAGCUAGUGUAGAAUAAAAUUCCUUUUUGGAUAGCUGAAGAUUAAAAUAGCUUUCAUAGUGGGUAUAUAGGAUCAUCAAGAUUAUGUUAUGUAUGUAACAUGUGCUGUUUCCUGUAUGACAGUCCGUAAUUUCAUAUUUCAUAUAUUCAUAUUGUAGUGUUUUUUCCAACUUUUUGUCGCACGAACUUUGCGAUUAAAAUUGGGCGAAAGACAACCCCGUAGUAUAUGGCAUUUUAUCAUUUGGUAGAUUAAUAUCAACAGCUCCUGAAGAGGUAUCACUCAAAGGCGUUCAAAUUCUAGUUUGAACCAAAUUUUAAGGGGGAAUAUGUGACAUGUUUACUACCAUUUUUGCAAUAAGCUAUGGUAAAUAGAUGCAGAAUGUUGUCAUGGGUACACACAAAAUGAAAUAUAUUUCACCAUUUUAACUUUUAAAACUUUUAUAACACAAACAGUUAGGUUAAUGAAUUAUAAUAGCUAUCAAAGGUACCAGGAUUAUAAUUUGAUACGCCAAACGCGCGUUUCGUCUACAUAAGACUCAUCAGUGACGCUCAGAUCAAAAUAAUUGUAAUGACAAAUAAGUACAAAGUUGAAGAGCAUUGAGGACCCAAAAUUUCAAAAAAGUUAUGCCAAAUUCAGCUAAGGUAAUCUAUUGCCCGGAAUAAGAAAAUCCUUAGUUUUUCGAAAAAUGCAUAGUUUUGUAAACAGGUUAAAAAUGACCAUAUAAUUGAUAUUCAUGUCAACACCAAAAUGCUGACAACUGGGCUGGUGAUCCCCUCAGGGACGACACGUCCACCAACAGUGGCAACGACCCAGUUGUGUAAAUAGUUAUUAGAGGUACCAGUGUUAUAAUUAAAUACGCCAGACGCGCGUUUCGUCUACAUAAGACUCAUCAUUGACGCUCAAAUCAAAGUAAUUUCAAAGCCAGGAAUAGAAGAUGAUACUUUGUGGUUCAAUUUUAAUGGGUUUUUUCCUACUGUGGAGUGCUACCUAACGUUCUGGAAUGAAAACUGAAAACAAAACGUACAAAUUAAUUGCGUUCUAAGCAUUUUCCUGAAUUUACCUUCAUUAGGAACGCCCAAAGACGAAUAUUUGAAAGCCAGGGAUGUAUAAAACCGAAACAUUUGAAGAGCUAUAUCAUCAGAAUUUACGUAACGGAAUAUCAUAAUCUGUCCAAGGCCAACUUUGCAUGAGGGAGUUGAAACCUUAGUUUCUUCGUAAUUUUAAAAUUUAUAAGGGGCAAAUUUAGAAAUUAUAAAGAUCUUUUACAGUACAUACAAUCUAAGACUCUCUCAUUUUGCAAUAGUAUCAAAACAUUUGACUUUUCUACACUUUACACAAUUAUUCCCCAUUCCAAACUAAAAGGCAAAUAGAAGUUUAAGUUUCUUGUAUAAUUCGGAGUUUAGUAUGACGUCCAUUACCACUGUACUAAUAUACAUACUUUUUAAGGGACCAGCUGAAGGACACCUACGGGUGCGGGAGUUUCUCGCUACAUUGAAGACCAUUUGGUGGCCUUUGGCUGUUGUCUGCUCUGUGGUCGGGUUGUUGUCGCAUUGACACAUUCCCCAUUUCCUUUCUCAAUUUAUGUUGGUAUUGAUUUUCUUCAUAAAACAGAAUGUAGAUACAAGUAUUUGGGGAGGGAUAAAUCCUACUUUGUAAAGGAUCACUCUUGAUUCAAACAAAAAAUUCUCUGAAACUGACAUUAUCAAGAUGCUUGAUUUCUUGCUUGACAACAUAUUUGUUACGUUCUGAGGACGUGUUUUUGAACAGACUGUCGGCAUUCCAAUGGGAACCUAUUGUGCCCCUCUUCUUGCCGACUUGUUUCUUUAUUAUUAUAAGGCUGACUUCAUACAGGAACUUCUUAGGAGGGAGAAAGAAAAGAAGUUAACAGUAUCCUUUAACUUUACUUUCCGCUAUAUAGAUGAUGUUCUCUCACUAAAUAAUUCAAAAUGUGGUGACUUUGUUGAACUCAUCUAUCCCAUCGAACUAGAGAUGAAAAAUACAACAGAUGCAUAAAUCUGCCUCAUAUCUUGACUUAAAUCUAAAAAUUAACAAUGCGGGUCGGUUGCAAACAUAACUUAACGUCAAUAGAGAUGAUUUUAGCUUCCAAACUGUGCAAUUUUCAUUUAUAUGUAGCAGCAUUCCAGCAGUGCCUGCAUACGGAGUAUAUCUCCCAAUUAAUGCCAUAUAUUACGGGGUUGUAUUUCCUAUUAUACUUUUCCUGAUAGCGGUUACUGCUCACGAGGAAGCUGUUAAACCAAAGGUUCCAAAUGGUGAAGCUGAAAUCAUCCCUUCGUAAUUUUACGGACGCCAUCACGAGUUGCUUGACCGUUAUGAAUAAUCGUUUCACAGAUGAUAUCGGAUAUGUUUCUUAUACCGUAAUUAUAACCUACUCACAUUUUUUCACCACGAAAAUUACCUAUCGAAUCAAACUAUUUACCGGGUUUGUAAUUACAUGAGCAACACGACGGCUGCCACAUGUGAAGCAGGAUAAGCUUACCCUUCCAGAGCCCCUGAGAUCACCCCCAGUUUUUGGUGGGGUUCGUGUUGCUUAGUUUUUAGUUUUCUAUGUUGUGUCUUGUGUACUAUUAUUUGUCUGUUUGUCUUUUUAAUAUUUUAGCCAUGGCGUUGUCAGUUUAUUUUCGAUCUAUGAGUUCGACUGUCCCUCUGGUAUCUUUCGCCCCUCUUUUAGAAUGUUUUGUUAUUAAUAAUGUCAGUACAGACGUACUGACUACUAUGCUGAUGAUACCCUCAGGGACAGAGAGUCAACCUGCAGAGGAACCGACCUAGUGCUGUUAAAAAAAUGAAAAUAGAGAAAUAUUAAUGGAACCAAAUUCAAAAAUGGAGGAUAUAUUUAUGGAACCAAUUUGCAGAGUUUUGAUUGUUGAUGGAAAUAAUAUGCCGUAUAGUAUCCCAAAGUCAUAAAUGUAUAGCGUAUGCUACCAUUUUUAUUUUGAUAAGCAUUGUAAAUUAUUUUUUAGGCAAUUUUUCAAUUUCACAUUGGGAAUAAUGGUAUAUAGGGUUGGAAAAUCAAAAUUUGGUAAAAAGAUCGAUAUUUAAAAUUAUCCAGAAGUUUUUAAGAACCCACAUAUGGUAAAUAUAAGACACUCUUUCAUUGCGGACGAAAUAUUUGUCAAUCUAAUGGUCACUUCUUUCGUCGAAUUUGCAGAAGAGUCAUUAAUUUGCUGCUUUUUUUAAGAUAUGGUAUCUAAUACAAUAAACAAAGUAAGUCUUCAGAUUUUCUGUUCAAUGUUAUGUUCAUUGAAUUCAUGAAGAACUUAUGAUAAGCCAGACAAAGGAUAUUUUCAUUGUAUGUGGGAUUACCCAAGUGCUCAUUAAAUUAUUCAUAAUUCCGUUUAUACAAGAUGCUUGUAGUGUUAUUAUUUACAUACAAAUACAAUAUUAUUUGGAGAACAAAUUCCUGGAUAAUUUGAUAAUACUGAUCUCCCUCUUAUUUCUUAUGUUUACAAAACAUCUACUAGAAAAUAAGUGUUUAAUUAUAGUUAAAUGAGUAAAGAUGUAAAUAUCAGUGACAAUACACAUACGUCAUGAAAGUAAAGUAAUUCCGAAUACAUUUAUGUUCCAGUUCUCAUGUCACAACAGGAGACGUUAACAUCGUUCGUGAUCGAGAGUUGAAAUCAUUCCGCAGUGUAGGAUCUAAAUAUUGUUUCUCGUCAACGAUUAAGUGGAAUGAGUGUCGUUACAUCAGCCAUGACUUACUCCGUACUUAAUGCUUUAAAUGAAUAAGGAGAGAAAAGCUAACAAGAAAUCCGUUGACUCUUUGACCCAAUGUCUCGUAUCAAACAUUAACUAAAUGAACUCGUCAAGGAAUUUACUUUUGUACAGGCUGUAAAGCUGCUAUUAAUAUAAUUUGUGUUUGACGUAAAUUGUACAUUGAGGUUCUGCAAAAGGAAAUCACGAAUUUACCAACAUUCAAACUGACUCCAUUUUCGGGAAAUAACAUCUGUAACAAACAUAAACGUUAAGCUACUGGGGAUUCAUUUAUUUUCGUGGGUACCAAUUUUCGUGGAUACCUGAUUUCGUGGUUUUGCAAAAUUCAGAAUUCAACGUGAUAGAAAUUUGUAUUUCGUUGAACAUUUAAAUUCAUGGUUUUCCAGUAGCAACGAAAGACACGAAAACUAGUUCCCAUGAAUAAUAAUGAAUCCACAGUACUUCUUUACAAGCAAAACCACAUACAAUGAAAGUUCCAACGAUGUACUUGCAUCCGAAACUGCAUAAAACACCUUAUAAAUAUAGGUUGUUUUGUCAAGCCAUUGUUUCAAAACUAAACUGUCUAUUUUACUUACUCGUACACUUGAUACAAUCAAAUACCUGAUAAUAAAUUGUUCAAAUAAGGCCUUUAAAAAUUGUGGUAUUAACUUAUUUUGGACUGUAUUUCUUAAGAACUUGAUUUUGCAUGCUUAUAUAGAUGACUUUGAAUCUGUUCGAUUGUUUCUACCCUACAUACCGCUUUGUCUCAUAUUCCUAUUAAGAAAAUAUUUACAUAUCUAAUUAAAUGGACAAUUCAAAAGUCAGAAUGCGAAGAUAUAUGACCAAAGUCUUUUAGUGUCAUUUUUAGCUCACCUUUCCUAAAAGGAAAUGUGAGCUUUUGCCAUCACUUGGCGUCCGUCGUCGUCCGUCGUCGUCAUCCGUCGUCGUCGUAAACUAUUUCAAAGAUCUUCUCCUCUGAAACUACUGAACCAAUUACAACCAAACUUUAGCUGAAUGAUCCUUAGGGUAUCUAGAAUAAAGAGUGUGUUUUAUUUUCCAUUUUGUGAAAAAAACAUGGCCGCCAUGGCUAAAAAUAGAACAUGGGGAUAAAAUGCAGUUUUUGGCUUAUAUCUCAAAAACGAAAGCAUUUAGAGCAAAUCUGUCAUGGGGGUAAAAAUGUUCAUAAGGUCAAGAUCUAUCAGCCCUGAAAUUUUCAGAUGAAUCAAACAACCCAUUGUUGGGUUGCUGCCACUUAAUUGGUAAUUUUAAGGAAAUUUUGCAGUUUUUGGUCAUUAUCUUGAAUAUUAUUAUAGAUAAAGAUAAACUGUAAACAGCAAAAAUGAUCAGUAAAGUAAGAUCUACAAAUAAGUUAAUUAUGACCAAAAUUGUCAAUUGACCCCUUAAGGGGUUAUUGUCCUUUAAUGACAAUUUUUCACAAUUUGUUCAUCAUAUUUGCUAACUUAAAAAAAUGUUCUCCUCUAAAACUACUCAACCAAACUUCAACUGAAUGAUCAGUAGGGUGUAUAAAAUAAAGUUUGUGUUUUAUUUUCUAUUUCGUCAAAAACAUGGCCGUCAUGGCUAAAAAUAGAACACAGGGUAAAAUGCAGUUUUUGGCUUAUAUCUAAAAAACUCCAGCAUUUAGAGCAAAUAAGACAAGAAAGUUAAAGUAUUUAUUAGGUCAAGGUCUACCUGUCCUGAAAUUUUCAGCCGAAUUGGGUAACUGGUUUUUCAGGUAUAAUGCCCCUGAAUUGAUGAUUUUAAUGAAAUUUUGCAGUUUUUGGUUAUUAUCUUGAAUAUUAUUAUAGAUACAGAUAAACUGUUUAUAGCAAAAAUGUUAAGCAAAGUAAAAUCUACAAAAAAGUCAAUUUGACCAAAAUUGUCAAUUGACCCCUUAAGGAGUUAUUGCCCUUUAAAGACUUUUUUCACAAUUUCUUCAUCAUGUUGACUUACUUUAAAAAAAUCUUCUCCUUUGAAACUGCUGUAUCAAUUUCAGCCAAACUUAGGCUAAAUGAGUUUCAGAGUAUCUAGCAUAAAUUUUAUAUUUUAUUUCCUUGUAUGUCAAGAAACAUAGCUCCUAUGGCUAAAAUAGAACAUAGAAGAAAAUGAUUUUUUUUUUUUGGCUUUUGAAGAAAAUAGGACGAUUCAAAGAAACAUUAAAUAAAUUGAAAAGCCAAAAUAAUCGUUGAUGAGAGAUUUAACCAAAAAAAUUAAGGUGAGCGAUUCAGGCUCUUGAGAGCCUCUUGUUUAGUUACAACAAACAAAGGAACUACUUUAAUUGGACCUGCUUUCAUACUAAACCUGACCUUGAUUUUUUACUAGAUGACAUUUUUGUUUGCUUUGGAAACUUCGUAUAUCGUCAAGUUAUCGGAACUCCAAUGUACACUACUUAUUUCGGACCUGUUCCUAUAUUGUUAUGCAAAGACCUAUCAAAACAACAUCUGAUACAAAAACUUAAUAAAACGUCCCUUGAAAGUAUUUUGGGACACGUCCCGGUCGUACCUGGGACGAUUACCCGUGCUUUCGGCGUGUUUCCCUGAGCUAGUACAUAUGUUUUUUAUUUAUGGGAUAGCUGAGGCCCAACUCCGGAUGCGGGAUUUUCUCGCUGUAUUGAAGACCCACAGAUGGCCUUCUAUUGUUAUCUGCUCUUUGGUCGGGUUGUUGUCGGUUUGACAUAUUUCCUUUUCUUUUAUCAAUUUUAUUGUUCGUACUACUUCUGGAUACAAUCGGUGUUGUAAAUUUACGGACAUAUACCACUAUAUAAAAGUUUCAUUGAAUGUCAGAAUACGUUUUUGAUUCGCCAUGGGUGCGUUUUAUGCGUUCAAGGAGUGAACUCCAGGCGUAUGUUACAAACACGCCCCGCAUACGUCUAAGUCAAAGUUUUCCAACGCACUUGUACGUAAGUAUUACGUGCGUGUAGCGAACAGGUAUACGCUUGAAAAACGCUAGAGCUAGAUGAAAAUAGUUAUGCUGCAUAACUGUUUCCCGGAGUUAAAGCGUUUACCAAGCAUUUGUGCCUAUGCAUUUCGACGUACUUCAAACUUAUGAAACGUGCGUCUAACAACUGUUUAGCGUUCCUCUUGAGUGCACCUAGCAUAUACAUACUUUUCUCUGCAUCUCUGGUGCACGUCGGUCUGUACGCCAAUGCGUGACGCCGGUAUAAGCCUGGUACCUUGUACUUAUUUACACCACUGGGUCGAUGCCGCUGGUGGUUGACGUUUCGUACCUUACGGUAUCGCCCAGCCAAGUAGUCAGCACUUCCGUGUUGACAUCGACGUAAUGACGCAAAACAACUCUCUAUGGUGUCUAUAUUAAAGGAUACGCAUAUCCUGAUGUAUUGAUUUCAAGUAUAAUAAGAACAAAUGGUGAAAAUGUUAGAUUUGUUUUCAGUAUUGAACGUGUAUCUUAAGUAAGCGACUUCGCUCCAUUAUUGUAAAGGAAUAUGUUUUUGGACUUCAUGGUUUUUUUUCAAAUAACACGACAUGAUAAGCUUAAUACUUAUAUUUUCUUCUUCUUUUAUAGGAGAUUAAGUGGGAAGCAGGUGAUACAAUAAUCUUGACGGGGCAAAAAGAGAAAGCUAAACUACUAAAAUAUUUUGAGCCAUCAGAAACAACAUGUUCCAUUAAAGGUUUAGAAGAUGGAUUUGAUGCACUCAAGCAUAUAAAGGAGGACACUUUGAUUAUCUGCAGUCCCCUAACUAAUGAUGAACCAAACGGAAAAAGUAGCAAUAAAUAUUAUCAUUACUAUUCUCUCUUUUGUCAUAUGUUUAAACUAGAACGUUUAUUGAAUGAUCUCAAACCUAUAAAUAGAGCAACUUUGCUAAUAUGUAUUCCUUCUAAUACUGGUUCGUCAGGUUAUAUAAAAUGGGUACUUGAUAAUGAAAAGUUAAUAAGCAUGUACAAUCAGCGUCUCUUUGUUUUUACUGAUUGCAAUUGUUCAUGCAAACGAAAAAUUCCCGACGAACUACAACACAUAAGCACAGGAAAACCAAUUUUUCACGGACUUGAUGGAGAGGCGAUUGGAUUUUCUUUAACUUUUCUGAAACAUUAUGGAAAUUUGCGAUAUAGAGAAUUAUUCAUACAUUGGAUGUAUUUUUUUCUAGAUAUUGGCUGGGGUUGGACCUAUAGAGAAUUGGUCAAAACGUUCGUCAAAACUAGGUUCCCAUUCCUUAAGUUGAGUGGAUAAUUUUUCGUAAAAACCCAAUCAACAAAAAUAAACCUGGCAAAGGAUCAAUUUUGUUCGAACUUAGGCCAGGUCACUAUUUAUCCCUUCGUGUUUCAUUAAAUUUGCUAAUCAAAAACGUGCCGUUGCUUAAUUACUCUCACUUAUUAAUGCUCAUAGUUGAUUGGUAGUUGUUAACGAUUGAUAUGUGCUGCAUCGGCAGUCACACAACAUCUCUGGUUUCUAUACUCAAUCAUGAUAAUACAUUCAGUUC